UAAGACAGAGGUUGCAAACGUUGUUCGGAAUCACUGGGCAUAAAGCGCACGUAGGCGGUCUGUUAAGUCAGGUGUGAAAGCCCCCGGCUCAACCGGGGAAUUGCAUUUGAUACUGGCAGGCUCGAGAACGGUAGGGGUGAGUGGAACUCCAGGUGGAGCGGUGAAAUGCGUAGAUAUCUGGAGGAACACCGGUGGCGAAAGCGGCUCACUGGACCGUCACUGACGCUGAGGUGCGAAAGCUAGGGUAGCAAACGGGAUUAGAUACCCCGGUAGUCCUGGCCCUAAACGAUGAAUGCUUGGUGUGGCGGGUAUCGAUCCCUGCCGUGCCGAAGCUAACGCAUUAAGCAUUCCGCCUGGGGAGUACGGUCGCAAGGCUG
This 377-nucleotide ribosomal RNA is filed under the name uncultured bacterium. RNAcentral describes it as "bacterial SSU rRNA". It matches the Rfam family "Bacterial small subunit ribosomal RNA", at positions 521 to 896 of the family's 1533-position model. The record is from RNAcentral.